Hordeum vulgare subsp. vulgare (domesticated barley) is the source of this 136-nucleotide non-coding RNA. NCBI's taxonomy places the organism in Eukaryota, Viridiplantae, Streptophyta, Magnoliopsida, Poales, Poaceae. The record is from Rfam.
AUUCUACUCCCUCCGUUCCAAAACUCUUUUCUUAGAUCUGUCGAGAUAUGAAUGUAUCUAGUCACGUUUUAGUAUUUAUAUACAUCUAUUUUUAGGCAAACUUGAGGCAAGAAUUUUCGGAUGGAGCGUGUACAUA